GCCAAUGCAUCAUCCGGUGGACAAAAAUUGAACCUUGCCAGUGUGUGUGUAUAUAUAUAAAAUCAGAGGGUUAGACAAAAAGCAAACCUAAACAAACAGAAUGACUAACACCAAGAACCGACCACUUAUUUUUUUGGAUCAGAUUGGCCUCACAAUUGAAGGCCUCAAACUAACCCAUGGGCAAUUUAACUUUACAGUUUAGCAGGGCACACACAUGUAUUUAUAACACACAGUGGUGGCGCCACACUUGUACCGGGGGUUCACAUGCACCCCCUUAACUCUUUAAAAUUAUACUAAAAAAUCUACUUUUUAUCUGGUUUGAACCCCCGGAGAUUUAAGUUUUGCACCAGCUGUACACAUUUUUCUCUCCAACUCUCUAAACAUUUACAAGUGUCCAAUGUCAUCAUCAGUCCACAAUGUCCACAGUCCGUAGUACAUUGGAAAGUGUCGCAUAUAGAGCUGAACAAUUUUAUAGGUGAAAGCUCAUGAAUGGUUUUAUAUCUCACACGUCACAAUUGUUAAUAGUCCUAUUUUAAACAUAUAAGUAAACAAAAUAGGAAAAA
RNAcentral lists this long non-coding RNA (563 nucleotides) under Trifolium pratense (red clover). Its description in RNAcentral is "long non-coding RNA (TPRA_LNC010701)". Lineage: Eukaryota; Viridiplantae; Streptophyta; Magnoliopsida; Fabales; Fabaceae. The record is from RNAcentral.